AAAGAAAGAAAGAAAUCUUGCACUCAGUUCAAAAAAUAUAUGAACUUACAUUAUUCUCAAAAAACUUUGACUCGCACAUCUUAUGUAGUACUUGAAGCUUGAACUUACCAUAAGACUUCAAAUUUCUAAACUCAACGCUAUUCUAGUAAUUCCUCAUUCUAAAUUUGAUGCCCCUGUUCUUCUAUGCAUACCAUCAUCUCUUACUACUCAUUCCUGGUUUCUAAUUCUAGUGUUAUUCUCCAUGCAUA
This 248-nucleotide unclassified non-coding RNA is filed under the name Hevea brasiliensis (rubber tree). The record is from RNAcentral. Lineage: Eukaryota; Viridiplantae; Streptophyta; Magnoliopsida; Malpighiales; Euphorbiaceae.